RNAcentral lists this ribosomal RNA (453 nucleotides) under marine bacterium B250-22b. Its description in RNAcentral is "SSU rRNA". It matches the Rfam family "Bacterial small subunit ribosomal RNA", at positions 8 to 508 of the family's 1533-position model. The record is from RNAcentral. Lineage: Bacteria; Pseudomonadati; Pseudomonadota; Alphaproteobacteria.
AGAGUUUGAUCAUGGCUCAGAACGAACGCUGGCGGCAGGCCUAACACAUGCAAGUCGAGCGAGCUCUUCGGAGCUAGCGGCGGACGGGUUAGUAACGCGUGGGAACGUGCCCUUCACUGCGGAAUAGCCACUGGAAACGGUGAGUAAUACCGCAUACGCCUUCGGGGGAAAGAUUUAUCGGUGAAGGAUCGGCCCGCGUUAGAUUAGAUAGUUGGUGGGGUAACGGCCUACCAAGUCUACGAUCUAUAGCUGGUUUUAGAGGAUGAUCAGCAACACUGGGACUGAGACACGGCCCAGACUCCUACGGGAGGCAGCAGUGGGGAAUCUUGGACAAUGGGCGCAAGCCUGAUCCAGCCAUGCCGCGUGAGUGAUGAAGGCCUUAGGGUCGUAAAGCUCUUUCGCCAGAGAUGAUAAUGACAGUAUCUGGAAAAGAAACCCCGGCUAACUCCGUGC